This 959-nucleotide long non-coding RNA is filed under the name Daucus carota (carrot). Its description in RNAcentral is "long non-coding RNA (DCAR_LNC004508)". Lineage: Eukaryota; Viridiplantae; Streptophyta; Magnoliopsida; Apiales; Apiaceae. The record is from RNAcentral.
GGUUACUUGGAAACCAGCCAAAUAUACUAAAAAGUUGUUUCGAACUCUACUACGAAAUUACGAAUAUGGAUAUGACUCCAUUAAUGUACUGGAUCUUAAUCAAUACUGUACUAGUACUAGUAACUGAGAGCAGAUAACCUGAUACUAAUAAUUCAUCACUCUUCUUCUCAUUACUUCUCCCCAGUGUUAUGAAAAGCGCAAAUCAGCUCUAGGCGGUGAAAGGACCUUCUAGCGCUUAAGCGGUAAAGCGGACGCUUAAGCGGAAUCUUAAGCGGGCCAAUAAGCGGAUUAAUAAAAUAUAAUUAAAUAUUUAAUUUUAAUAUUAAUAUAUUCAAAAAUAAUGUUAUAUUGUGGUAAGAAUUUAAAUUUUUAAAAAUAUAUAUAUAUUAAUUUUUUAAUAUAAUUAUAGUUAUAUUAUAUAAAAAAAUAUUUUAAAACUGAAAAAUUAGCAAGUCAAAAUCAUUUUGACCGCUUAAGUACCGCUUAAUCCGCUUAACGACCGCUUAAUCCGCUUAAUAGUCCGCUUAAUUUUCAAAAACGCUUAAGAACCCGCUUAAUACAAAAUCGAGGCGUUUUAGGGCCGAUUCCGCUUAGGCGGCCGCUUAAUGCGCUUUUUAAAACACUGCUUCUCCCUGGCCUCAACUAGUGGCCAUUUGUGAACAUAUAUUAUUCAACCAUCAUUCAACAUAUAUAAUGUACCUGGUAGGCUGGUAGCUUAUAACUGCGCAUCAACUUGAGUUCAGCCUCGUAACACCCAGAGGACCCGACCCUAACAACCCAGAUUGAGAUAGCUACGUAGUAUUGUUUGGUAAUAAGUACAGGCUGCGUUGGUAUGCAUUACUACUAAGAAUGCCAAGUUACUAUUUUUCUCAUUUUUUUUCCUUUCAUACAUGGCAUGCAUAUAGCAUAUAGUUGGACGGACCCAUGCGUUUUAAUUCGCAAGUAGACGCAUAUCAAAG